UUCGAGAGAAUCCAAUCCAACCAAAGCAACACAACACAACACAACGCUUCCUCCUCCUCUCCCCUCGAAUCGAUCCCCUCCAAACCCGCCGCCGCCGCCGUGGACCUCCUAUCCCCAUCCCCACCGGCGUUCUCGUCUCCUCUAGCCUCACCGUCGACCUCCCGCCCCGCCCUGCAUCCCGUCGCCGGCGCCCCCACCCUCUCCCCUCUCCGUCUCUUCCUAGGAGGGAGCGAGGCCUCAGAUCCACAGGCCGCGGCAACCACCACCACCGCGUCCUACUCCUUCCACCCCACCUAGCCGCCCUCCGCCUCCACAGCUCUCCGUCCCUCCCUCCCUCCUCGCGCCCGCAGCCAUGUCGACCGAGCUCAGGACCCCUCUCCUCCAAGACCAAAACGCAGGCAGCAGGCCAGGGCGACUUCAGCGCUUCCCUUCUCCUGGACGGCAGUUUAGUCGUGUUGGUCGUGCGCUCCCACAACCAGAGAGGAGGGGAGAGGAGGCGGAGAUGCUGCUGCUGCACGGGCUGACGGGGAAGAACAAGCAGGCGUGGAAGGAGGGCAAGAUCCGCGGCACGGCGGUGCUGGUCAAGAGCGGCGUGCUCGACCUCGGCGACUUCAACUCAUCCGUCCUCGACGACGUCCACAAGAUCCUCGACGGCCAAGGACGAUGGCGUCUCCUUCCAUCUCGUCAGCGCCACCGCACCCAACCCCCGGAUUGAAGGUUGUCAACAAAGAAAGGAAGAAAGAAAGAAAGAUCCAUUUCUCCAUGGAAGGAGGAAGGGACAUCUUGAUCGCAAGUGACUGACUGGAAGCAACCGAGGGAGCCGGCAACCUCUCCGACAUGCUGCUCACGACCACCUCCCCAACCAGAUGCUGUUGGUAAGCUCUCUCUUCUCCCCCUCCAUCUAUUUGCGAAGCACACAUGUAUGCAAGAUGGAAAUCCAUCUAUUUAACUCGAUUUUGCUGAAAAAUGUUUCUUUUUAUCCUGUUGGAUGUGUAGGCAGUAGAGGAAGUAUGGAUGUUAAUUUUGUUUCACUCAAUAAAAUCCUUGUGUGUGCUAAUUAUGCAUUGGCAGUAGGCAGUAGACUUAGCCAUUUGUCGAUAAAAUCCUUGUGUGUGCUAAGUAUGGAUGUUAAUUUUGUUUCACUCAAUUUCACUUCUCUACAAUGUUCAUUCUCACAUAUUUCUAUCAUUCUUUGCAGGGAUAAAGUAAAGAAAAAGAAGAAAAGAUUACUAGAAGAUUAGUUUUAGAAUUUUCUUUUAUUUCCUUGUAAUUUUUCUUUUAUUGGAUACUUGUAAAGACAUUGUGUAAUAUUCUUACUAUAAUAAAAAUUAUGAUUCUAUUUCAUUUUUUGUUUUUAAAUUAUUUUUCCUUAUAGGUUGUUUUCUGUAA
Molecule: non-coding RNA, 1389 nt
Organism: Aegilops tauschii subsp. strangulata
Lineage: Eukaryota; Viridiplantae; Streptophyta; Magnoliopsida; Poales; Poaceae
Source: RefSeq, a predicted model, not a curated record